This 1251-nucleotide ribosomal RNA is filed under the name metagenome. RNAcentral describes it as "bacterial SSU rRNA". It matches the Rfam family "Bacterial small subunit ribosomal RNA", at positions 243 to 1520 of the family's 1533-position model. The record is from RNAcentral.
AGCUAGUUGGUGAGGUAACGGCCCACCAAGGCAACGAUCGGUAGCCGGACUGAGAGGUUGAACGGCCACAUUGGGACUGAGACACGGCCCAGACUCCUACGGGAGGCAGCAGUGGGGAAUAUUGCACAAUGGGGGAAACCCUGAUGCAGCGACGCCGCGUGGAGGAAGAAGGUCUUCGGAUUGUAAACUCCUGUUGUUGGGGAGGAUAAUGACGUUACCCAACAAGGAAGUGACGGCUAACUACUGCCAGCAGCCGCGGUAAAACGUAGGUCACAAGCGUUGUCCGGAAUUACUGGGUGUAAAGGGAGCGCAGGCGGGAAGACAAGUUGGAAGUGAAAUCUAUGGGCUCGACCCAUAAACUGCUUUCAAAACUGUUUUUCUUGAGUAGUGCAGAGGUAGGCGGAAUUCCCGGUGUAGCGGUGGAAUGCGUAGAUAUCGGGAGGAACACCAGUGGCGAAGGCGGCCUACUGGGCACCAACUGACGCUGAGGCUCGAAAGUGUGGGUAGCAAACAGGAUUAGAUACCCUGGUAGUCCACACCGUAAACGAUGAUUACUAGGUGUUGGAGGAUUGACCCCUUCAGUGCCGCAGUUAACACAAUAAGUAAUCCACCUGGGGAGUACGACCGCAAGGUUGAAACUCAAAGGAAUUGACGGGGGCCCGCACAAGCAGUGGAGUAUGUGGUUUAAUUCGACGCAACGCGAAGAACCUUACCAAGUCUUGACAUCCCUUGACAGGCAUAGAAAUAUGUUUUCUCUUCGGAGCAAGGAGAAAGGUGGUGCAUGGUUGUCGUCAGCUCGUGUCGUGAGAUGUUGGGUUAAGUCCCGCAACGAGCGCAACCCUUAUGGUCAGUUACUACGCAAGAGGACUCUGGCCAGACUGCCGUUGACAAAACGGAGGAAGGUGGGGAUGACGUCAAAUCAUCAUGCCCUUUAUGACUUGGGCUACACACGUACUACAAUGGCGUUAAACAAAGAGAAGCAAGACCGCGAGGUGGAGCAAAACUCAGAAACAACGUCCCAGUUCGGACUGCAGGCUGCAACUCGCCUGCACGAAGUCGGAAUUGCUAGUAAUCGUGGAUCAGCAUGCCACGGUGAAUACGUUCCCGGGCCUUGUACACACCGCCCGUCACACCAUGAGAGCCGGGGGGACCCGAAGUCGGUAGUCUAACCGCAAGGAGGACGCCGCCGAAGGUAAAACUGGUGAUUGGGGUGAAGUCGUAACAAGGUAGCCGUAGGAGAACCUGCGGCUG